Molecule: ribosomal RNA, 424 nt
Filed under: Rhipicephalus microplus (southern cattle tick)
Lineage: Eukaryota; Metazoa; Arthropoda; Arachnida; Ixodida; Ixodidae
Description: partial large subunit ribosomal RNA
Source: RNAcentral
UAAAUUGCUGUGGUAUUUUGACUAUACAAAGGUAUUGAAAUAAGGUUUUAAUUGAAUGCUAAAAGAAUGGAAUAUCAAAGAAUAACUUUCUUAAAAUUAAAAAUUGAAAUUUUUUUAAUUUGUGUAAAAACAAUUAUAUAAAUUAAAGACAAGAAGACCCUAAGAAUUUUUAAAAUUUAAAUUAACACAUUUUUGUUUUAAUUAAAUUUUAACUGGGGCGGUUAAAAAAUAUUAAAAACUUUUUAAUUUUGAAAAUGACCCAUUAUUAAUGAAAAUAUGAUAAAAUACUCUAGGGAUAACAGCGUUAUAUUUUUUGAUAGAUCAUAUUGACAAAAAAGUUUGCGACCUCGAUGUUGGAUUAGGAUACUUUUUUAAUGAAGAUAUUAAAAUAAGGAGUUUGUUCAACUUUUAAAUUCCUACUUGA